Molecule: ribosomal RNA, 468 nt
Filed under: uncultured bacterium
Lineage: Bacteria
Description: partial 16S ribosomal RNA
Rfam family: Bacterial small subunit ribosomal RNA
Source: RNAcentral
GACGAACGCUGGCGGCGUGCUUAACACAUGCAAGUCGAACGGAAAGGCCCAGCUUCUGUGGGGUGCUCGAGCGGCGAACGGGUGAGUAACACGUGAGUAAGCUGCCGCUUACUUGGGGGUAACUUCAGCAAACUGGGGUUAAUACCGGAGAGGAGCGCCUGAUGCAUGGAGGGGGGGGGAAAGUGUCGGCGGUUGGGGAUGGAUGCGCGGCUUAUCAGCUUGUUGGGGGGGGAGUGGCUUACCAAGGCUUUGACGGGUAGCCGGCCUGAGAGCGUGACCGGCCACAAUGCGACUGCGAUACGGCCCAGAGUCCUAUGUUGGGCAGCAGUGGCAAAUCUUACACAAUGGGCCGACGUCUGAUGCGGCAACGCUGCGUUCGUAAUGUCCUCCUUGCGGUUAUGAACCGCUUUCGCCUGUGACCUAGCCUGAUUGACGGUACCGGGUGAAGAAGCACCGGCUAACUACGUG